This is a non-coding RNA of Aegilops tauschii subsp. strangulata, 1255 nucleotides long. The record is from RefSeq and is a predicted model, not a curated record. NCBI's taxonomy places the organism in Eukaryota, Viridiplantae, Streptophyta, Magnoliopsida, Poales, Poaceae.
CGUCGAGCAUCACCUCGAAGAAAACCUCAUAGGUGACUCCUGGUGUGAGAUGGGGCAGUUCCAGCUUCCCUUGGACCUCCAACCAGCAGACGUUCUUCAGCGCCACCAUCUCGAUUCCAGCUUCGGCAGCACUGAUGGUAACAUGUCAGUUUCAGAACAUGGGGUUGCCAAGUCCAGUAUUGGGGUUCUUCGCUCCAAGUGAUGGCCAGGCCUCUGGGGAACAGCAUGAAGCAGUUGUGCCUAGUCCUCUCAUCCACCCAGUACUUCUGCACCAUUGCAGAAAGUUUGAAGCAUAAGCCAUGUUCAGAAGUCAAGAAGAUCCCGGUGGAAACCUGAUCUUCCAGUGCAGCUACAUUGGUGACCUUCUCCCCGGCAACAAUCUCCCGGAACAUGUGAGGAGCUGGCGCCCUCUUGGACUGCGCCUGGUUGGCGGUGUCGGAAGUAGUAGAAGCACUCACCUUCAUGCGGCAGAAUGCAUCGAUAAUCGGCAAUGGCAACAGCACAUGAGUAGGCUCAUGCUCGAGAUAACUAAUACAUCAUGCCAAAGAGCACAUGAGUACAGCUAUUGCACAUGGCAUGGAUGCAAUAAGAGCACAUGAGUGCUGCUACUCCUUGAAUGAUUCUUUUAAAAGUAUUCACCGUCAUGUCUACGCCUUACUGAGGACAAAUGGUCUUAUUAAGGUUAUCUUUGGUUUAGCACCUUCUGGAUGUACCACGGCUACCCCCUGGCCCUUCAUUCCUGAACUCCAUGCGAGUUGAGCAGGACGCCCAAGGGAAACCGAGACGAUUAUUCCUUCUUAGGGUGGUGAGAUAAGUCGCCCACAGGAUCUCCGGUGAGCGGAUUGCACUAUCAUUCCUUUCCGCUCAUGACACUCUCCAAAUUAUUUUACCAGCUACGGUGGGGCGCAACAUGUUACUGAAAAGUUUAUCUCGGUCACCACCUCACAUGUAAGGAUCAGAUCGCAUCAUCAAGAUGCUAAUAAUUCGUUUGCAGUAAAUUAGAAGGACCUUGAAGACUAGUUAUAAAUAAGCAAGUCCUCGGUGAGAUGUCAUCAGGUCUUCUCUUUUAUUAUGAUAUGAUUCCAGCUUGACAUGUCACAUGCAUGUAUUGCAUACUUGUCUGACUUAAUCCCCGGGGAUGAACACGACGACGUGGGUCAUUACAAAUGGAUGUGGAUUCCAGUUAAUGUGUGUUGGGAGCCGAGAUCUGAGAUUCCACUUAAUGCUAAUACUUCGAUGUGGAGUUCCAAUUUCA